GCGGAAGAGGGCAAACCGAAGGUAGAAAUACCUUCGGGGUACGGACUGCUUUUAGGACUCGAUCUGUUAACCGAACGGCAUGGGAAGGCCGGUCAGAGAGUGUGAGAACCACGUAGGUGAAAACGGAAAGAGCUGCGCAGAUUCCAGAGUACGGCCAGACACGUGAAACCUGGUCGGAAGAUGGGGGGACCACCCUCCAACCCUAAAUACUACCCAGUGACCGAUAGCGUAUAGUACUGUGAAGGAAAGGUGAAA
RNAcentral lists this ribosomal RNA (255 nucleotides) under Faecalibacterium prausnitzii. RNAcentral describes it as "partial 23S ribosomal RNA". It matches the Rfam family "Bacterial large subunit ribosomal RNA", at positions 259 to 519 of the family's 2925-position model. Lineage: Bacteria; Bacillati; Bacillota; Clostridia; Eubacteriales; Oscillospiraceae. The record is from RNAcentral.